This 177-nucleotide small RNA is filed under the name Sphingomonas sp. RNAcentral's name for it is "Manganese sequence". It matches the Rfam family "Manganese Mn2+ riboswitch aptamer (yybP-ykoY)". Rfam says of the family: This RNA was originally discovered in E. coli during a large scale screen and was named SraF. The family was later found to exist upstream of related families of protein genes in many bacteria, including the the yybP and ykoK genes in B. subtilis. The specific functions of these proteins are unknown, but this structured RNA element may be involved in their genetic regulation as a riboswitch. RNAcentral also lists the same sequence under 1 other name. Lineage: Bacteria; Pseudomonadati; Pseudomonadota; Alphaproteobacteria; Sphingomonadales; Sphingomonadaceae. The record is from RNAcentral.
GCACCCGUCAUCCGGGGAGUAGCCGGCCGUUCCGCACCGAACGGGAAUCGCGUCAACAUACUUGGGGGAGACCUCAUGGCGCGAUCAGGGUCCGAAAGACCUUGGCGAGACCGAUGACACCUGACCUCGCCUGCCGGGCGGGGGUCAUGGUGUCGUCCGUCACUGCCUGCCCGGCCC